Molecule: ribosomal RNA, 537 nt
Filed under: Caesio xanthonota (yellowback fusilier)
Lineage: Eukaryota; Metazoa; Chordata; Actinopteri; Lutjaniformes; Lutjanidae
Description: partial large subunit ribosomal RNA
Rfam family: Bacterial large subunit ribosomal RNA
Source: RNAcentral
AUAAGAGGUCCCGCCUGCCCUGUGACUGUAAGUUUAACGGCCGCGGUAUUUUGACCGUGCGAAGGUAGCGCAAUCACUUGUCUUUUAAAUGGAGACCUGUAUGAAUGGCAUAACGAGGGCUUAGCUGUCUCCUCUUUCAAGUCAAUGAAAUUGAUCUCCCCGUGCAGAAGCGGGGAUACACACAUAAGACGAGAAGACCCUAUGGAGCUUUAGACACCAAAGCAGACCAUGUUAAAAACUCUUAGACAAAAGACCAAACCAAAUGAACCCUGCCCUAAUGUCUUUGGUUGGGGCGACCGCGGGGAAACACAAAACCCCCACGUGGAAUGAGAACACCUCCUCUCACAACUAAGAGCUCCCGCUCUAAUGAACAGAAAUUCUGACCAAUAAGAUCCGGCAAGACCGAUCAACGGACCGAGUUACCCUAGGGAUAACAGCGCAAUCCCCUUUUAGAGGCCAUAUCGACAAGGGGGUUUACGACCUCGAUGUUGGAUCAGGACAUCCUAAUGGUGCAGCCGCUAUUAAGGGUUCGUUUGU